GUGUCAGCAGCCGCGGUAAAACCAGCACCUCAAGUGGUCAGGAUGAUUAUUGGGCCUAAAGCAUCCGUAGCCUGUUCUGUAAGUUUCCGGUUAAAUCCAUUAGCUCAACUAAUGGGCUGCCGAAAAUACUGCAGAACUAGGGAGUGGGAGAGGUAGACGGUACUCGGUAGGAAGGGGUAAAAUCCUUUGAUCUAUUGAUGACCACCUGUGGCGAAGGCGGUCUACCAGAACACGUUCGACGGUGAGGGAUGAAAGCUGGGGGAGCAAACCGGAUUAGAUACCCGGGUAGUCCCAGCUGUAAACGAUGCAGACUCGGUGAUGCGCUGGCUUGUGGCCAGUGCAGUGCCGCAGGGAAGCCGUUAAGUUUGCCGCCUGGGAAGUACGUACGCAAGUAUGAAACUUAAAGGAAUUGGCGGGGGAGCACCACAAGGGGUGAAGCCUGCGGUUCAAUUGGAGUCAACGCCAGAAAUCUUACCCGAAGAGACAGCAGAAUGAAGGUCAAGCUGGAGACUUUACCAGACAAGCUGAGAAGUGGUGCAUGGCCGUCGCCAGCUCGUGCCGUGAGAUGUCCUGUUAAGUCAGGUAACGAGCGAGAUCCCUGCCUCUAGUUGCCACCAUUACUCUCCGGAGUAGUGGGGCGAAUUAGCGGGACCGCCGUAGUUAAUACGGAGGAAGGAAGGGGCCACGGCAGGUCAGUAUGCCCUGAAACUUUGGGGCCACACGCGGGCUGCAAUGGUAGCGACAGUGGGUUCCGAAACCGAAAGGUGGAGGUAAUCCUCAAACGCUACCACAGUUAUGAUUGAGGGCUGCAACUCGCCCUCAUGAAUAUGGAAUCCCUAGUAACUGCGUGUCAUUAUCGCGCGGUGAAUACGUCCCUGCUCCUUGUACACACCGCCCGUC
This 900-nucleotide ribosomal RNA is filed under the name uncultured archaeon. Its description in RNAcentral is "bacterial SSU rRNA". It matches the Rfam family "Archaeal small subunit ribosomal RNA", at positions 455 to 1354 of the family's 1478-position model. The record is from RNAcentral.